Molecule: non-coding RNA, 665 nt
Organism: Gadus macrocephalus (Pacific cod)
Lineage: Eukaryota; Metazoa; Chordata; Actinopteri; Gadiformes; Gadidae
Source: the annotation of a RefSeq genome assembly
UUCUCACACAUGACCGAUUUAUUUAACGAAAACCUCAAACCCUUCCUUGAUGGACACUAAUGUGAACUGUGCUGCCGUCAAAUCGACUAAUGUAAAGCACCUCACAGUGAGCACAGAGACGGGUCAUUAGGGAGAAUGAAGGACUAGGCAUGCUUCUCAAGGAUGUUUACAGGCUCCAGCCUCCCUCCUCCUGUCCUGACAUUCUACCGUCCUUCCACCAAUCCGCUCUCGUCCAGCCAUGCCGCUCUGGUCUGUCUGGCACGGCAGAUGUCUAUCGGCUUCGCAGAGGUGAGCUGGCUGGUCAACGGGAGUCCGGUCACCGAAGGGACUUGGACCAGCACCGCGGUUCAGCACCCCGACAAGACUUUCCAACUCAGCAGCUAUCUGUCCCUUCCAGGUUGUGACAGCGAGGACAGGAGCUACACAUGUAAAGUGACCGUGGGUUCAAGGUCCUUUGAGAAAACGAUGAGGAUCUCUGAAUGUAGCAACACUUUAGAAUAAGUGUCAGGUUUACGUUGACGUCUUUCUUGCUUGCUGCUUGUGCACUAGAAGAUUUAGUGAGUUUGUGAUCUAAACCCUUUGUGUGCAUUCAUUCAUACCUUUAACCUUUCUGUACGUUGUGUUGAGAAAAGUUCACUCAAUAAAAGUCAUUGCAUUUGAAAAAA